CUUUCUAGAAUGCUUGCUGUUUGGAGAUUCUAGCCCUGGGUCCAGAUGAAGAGACCACUUAGUGGCCCACCCUGACUUCUCCCUAACAUAGCUGUGAUUAUUACAUUCUGCCUUUUUUUUUUUUUUCUGUUUCUGAUUCUUCAAGGAAAUAGUCUCUUCCUUUUUCUUCCCUCUUCUUCUACUCUGAGCUCUGUUAGUUUGUGUUUACUUAUCCAUUGAUUGUCUUUUCACAUCAGAUGGGAGACUGUUGUGAAGGCAGGACCUAUGUCUUGCUCAUUGCUGUCUGCCUGGUACUUGGCCUGGAGUAGGCUCCCUGUGAAUCUUUGCCGAACUAAAGAAUUUUACUGAUGAUAGACGACAACAGCACACCGGUGACCAACCCUCGGGUUCAGAGCUUGAUUGACUGAGGACUUACUUUAAGCUGGAGGGAGUAGAGCCAGCUUUCUCUGCUCAUUCAGAUCCCAGAGCGUUUGGUGCUCUGUGUAGGACCAGAGCAAAGAAACACAACUCUUUGUACUAAACAUUAUGGCCCAGAAUUGGUGUUAGGUGCCAGAUGUUAAGAGAUCAAUAUAGGUGAGGCUAACAUUUUUUUUCUUUUUGCACUGAUUGUUUCAAGUGUUUUGCUUAACUUUCUAUUUUUGCAACCUGGAUAAGGGCUGCUAGUUCUAAUUUUAAUAAUAGGAUCUGUGGGUCUACAUUAUAAGGCAUCCAUGAUUUGGGUUUGGAGUGCGCACUGAUUGACAUUCAUGAUCCCAGAGACAUCAUCUUCACCCUUCUUGCCCUUAGGGUUAACGUCCUUUGGUGACACCAUGGGCAAGGUCUGGAUGGUUUGGCCAAGAGGAAGCCCAUGCAGAUCAUCUAAGCUAAAGCCAAGUCACCUUUCUCAGAAAGCAAAAUUCAGGAAACUCUUCAAAUAUCCCAGAAGUCAGUGAUACCAAAGACUUCCAGAAAAGCCUUUUCCAGUGGGAAUUGACCUGUAAAUUCCGGCCGCAGGAGAGCGAGUGGAAACCAGGGCACACUGCAAGGUCCCCCUUUUCCUCUCUCGGAGGGCAAUGUGAGCCCUUGCCAGGCAGUUGAACACUGGUAUGCACCAAGCACAUGGCUGAGUGGGCGUGGUGUGGGGAAGGCCCGGUGCUGAGUGGUGACAGACACUUGUGUGUCCCCUAGAAAGUGUAUUAUCGAUUGAUAAUUUUAACCAGAGAAAGGGGGAGAUGUUUGAUAAGUCUCUCUUUGUGAAUAAUAGAUACUCCUAUCUUUAGUCGUAGCUCACUACCAAUGAGCCACCCCUAAUAUUUUAUACAGAGAAUAGGCC
Molecule: long non-coding RNA, 1312 nt
Filed under: Fukomys damarensis (Damara mole-rat)
Lineage: Eukaryota; Metazoa; Chordata; Mammalia; Rodentia; Bathyergidae
Description: lncRNA (ENSFDAG00000033341.1)
Source: RNAcentral